GGGGAAUUUUCCGCAAUGGGCGAAAGCCUGACGGAGCAAUACCGCGUGCGGGACGAAGGCUUUUGGGUCGUAAACCGCUUUUGUUAGGGAAGAAUACAAUGACGGUACCUAACGAAUCAGCAUCGGCUAACUCCGUGCCAGCAGCCGCGGUAAUACGGGGGAUGCAAGCGUUAUCCGGAAUUAUUGGGCGUAAAGCGUCCGCAGGUGGUUUAUCAAGUCUGCUGUCAAAUCGUAGGGCUUAACCCUAUAAAGGCAGUGGAAACUGAGAGACUAGAGUACGGUAGGGGUAGCGGGAAUUCCCAGUGUAGCGGUGAAAUGCGUAGAUAUUGGGAAGAACACCAGCGGCGAAGGCGCGCUACUGGGCCGAAACUGACACUCAUGGACGAAAGCUAGGGGAGCGAAAGGGAUUAGAUACCCCUGUAGUCCUAGCUGUAAACGAUGACAACUAGGUGUUGCGCGUAUCGACCCGUGCAGUGCCGUAGCUAACGCGUUAAGUUGUC
This 500-nucleotide ribosomal RNA is filed under the name uncultured cyanobacterium. RNAcentral's name for it is "bacterial SSU rRNA". It matches the Rfam family "Bacterial small subunit ribosomal RNA", at positions 356 to 869 of the family's 1533-position model. Lineage: Bacteria; Bacillati; Cyanobacteriota. The record is from RNAcentral.